Molecule: ribosomal RNA, 497 nt
Filed under: uncultured bacterium
Lineage: Bacteria
Description: partial 16S ribosomal RNA
Rfam family: Bacterial small subunit ribosomal RNA
Source: RNAcentral
GAUGAACGCUGGCGGCGUGCCUAAUACAUGCAAGUCGAGCGAACAGACGAGGAGCUCGCUCCUCUAACGUUAGCGGCGGACGGGUGAGUAACACGUGGAUAACCUACCUAUAAGACUGGGAUAACUUCGGGAAACCGGAGCUAAUACCGGAUAAUAUAUUGAACCGCAUGGUUCAAUAGUGAAAGACGGUUUUGCUGUCACUUAUAGAUGGAUCCGCGCCGCAUUAGCUAGUUGGUAAGGUAACGGCUUACCAAGGCAACGAUGCGUAGCCGACCUGAGAGGGUGAUCGGCCACACUGGAACUGAGACACGGUCCAGACUCCUACGGGAGGCAGCAGUAGGGAAUCUUCCGCAAUGGGCGAAAGCCUGACGGAGCAACGCCGCGUGAGUGAUGAAGGUCUUCGGAUCGUAAAACUCUGUUAUUAGGGAAGAACAAAUGUGUAAGUAACUAUGCACGUCUUGACGGUACCUAAUCAGAAAGCCACGGCUAACUACGUG